AUUAGCAUUUCUAGCAACAAUGUAUUUUUAAAUUAAGAUAUUUGAUGUGAUUCACCAGUACAGCCAUAUGAAGAUGAUAUUUUGAUUUUAGGAAUGUUUCAUUACAAAUGCAAUUCCUUCAACAGAGGCUUUUUCACUCCUCAGAAGAAAAAGUGGACACUAUAUGCCCCAAUGCAGCCGCAUUCCUGCUGGUCCCCAAAAGUAUAGUCACAAAAUUAAACAGGAGACCAUAAAUGAAUAAGACAGAGAAACUGACAGGAGGAAAGCAAGCUGCCAGAGCUUAGAGCUGUUCUUUUGUCUGUACUGUUCAGGAACUGAAUCUUAUUCAAAUUCAUAGUAAUUUUUUUUCAAGCCAAGCCAACUCACAUUGGGAAUUGGAACUCUGCAUAAUGCUAGACGAGCUAACACAGUAAGUGGGUAUUUCUGCUCUCUACCACCCUCCAGAGAAUUUUUUUCUUUCUAAUUGCAUUAGUCCGCUCAGGCUGCCACCAAAAACUAUCACUGAGUGGCAUAAACAAUAGAAAUUUAUUUGUUCUCAGUUUUGGAGGCUGGAAGUCUUAGAUCAGGGUGCCAACAUAGUCAAGUUCUGGUGAGGACGUUCUACUUGUCUUGCAGAUGGCUGUCCUCUUGCUGUGUCCUCACAAGAGGGAUAGCGGGGAGAGAGAAAGAGAGCUCACUCUCUGAUGUCUCUGUUUCUAAGGGCACUAAUCUCAUCAUGAGGCCUUACUCUGAACACCUCAUUGAAACCUAAUUAUCUUCCAAAGGGCCCAUGUGCAAAUAUCAUUAGAUGAGGGGAGUGAGGCCUUCAACAUAUGAAUGUUGGGAGCAUAACUCAGCGCAUAGCCCUAACAUAAUUUAUGAAUAGGAGCGCUUGAGGAACUUCUUAGUGGAUCUCGCUGCUCCUCACUAGGCCCGUACAAUCUACUCUCAGUGGAGAUAGAAUUUUAAAGAUACAUAAGCUAGAUUACAUCACUUCCUUGUUCAAAUCCUCCAGUAACUGCCAUCACAUCUAGAAAAAUAUACCAUGGACUACAAGGGUCUGCAUGAUUCAGACCCUUCUUUCUUCUAGUUUCUCCUUUGCUUACUUCACUGCUAACAUACCGGUCUCUAGGAAUUCCUUAGGCACAUCAAAUGCACUUCACCUUGAGGGCCUCUGCAGUUGCUGUCCCCUUUAUCUGGAGCACACUUUUUCAGAUAUUGAUUGAUUGAUUGAUUGAUUGGGGCAGGGUCUAGCCCUGUUGCUCAGGCUGGAGUGUAG
Molecule: long non-coding RNA, 1258 nt
Filed under: Homo sapiens (human)
Lineage: Eukaryota; Metazoa; Chordata; Mammalia; Primates; Hominidae
Description: HSALNT0328140
Source: RNAcentral